Molecule: ribosomal RNA, 301 nt
Filed under: Salmonella enterica
Lineage: Bacteria; Pseudomonadati; Pseudomonadota; Gammaproteobacteria; Enterobacterales; Enterobacteriaceae
Also listed under: 3 other names
Description: partial 23S ribosomal RNA
Rfam family: Bacterial large subunit ribosomal RNA
Source: RNAcentral
GGUUAAGCGACUAAGCGUACACGGUGGAUGCCCUGGCAGUCAGAGGCGAUGAAGGGCGUGCUAAUCUGCGAUAAGCGCCGGUAAGGUGAUAUGAACCGUUAUAACCGGCGAUACCCGAAUGGGGAAACCCAGUGUGAUUCGUCACACUAUCAUUAACUGAAUCCAUAGGUUAAUGAGGCGAACCGGGGGAACUGAAACAUCUAAGUACCCCGAGGAAAAGAAAUCAACCGAGAUUCCCCCAGUAGCGGCGAGCGAACGGGGAGGAGCCCAGAGCCUGAAUCAGCAUGUGUGUUAGUGGAAG